GGUGGGUCUACUAGGAUUCCUAAGGUUCAACAAUUGUUGCAGGAUUUCUUCAAUGGUAAAGAGCUUUACAAGAGCAUUAACCCUGAUGAGGCUGUAGCCUAUGGUGCUGCAGUCCAGGCUGCAAUCCUGAGUGGCGAGGGUAAUGAGAUGGUCAAGGACCUUCUAUUGCUCGAUGUCACUCCUCGGUCCCUUGGUUUGGGGACAACUGGUGAUAUUAUGACUGUAUUGAUUCCAAGGAACAUGGCCAUCCCCAUCAAGAAAGAGCAAGUGCUUUCCACCGAUUCUGAUAAUCAGCUUGGUGUGUUGAUUCAGGUCUAUGAGUGUGAGCGAAAUAGAACCGGUGAGAACAAUUUGCUAGGCAAUUUUGAAUUAUUUGGCAUUCCCCCUGCUCCUAGGGGUGUUCCACGAAUCCAUGUUUGCUUUGACAUUGAUGCCAAUGGUAUUCUG
This 447-nucleotide unclassified non-coding RNA is filed under the name Hevea brasiliensis (rubber tree). Lineage: Eukaryota; Viridiplantae; Streptophyta; Magnoliopsida; Malpighiales; Euphorbiaceae. The record is from RNAcentral.